Molecule: unclassified non-coding RNA, 364 nt
Filed under: soil metagenome
Description: partial contains 5.8S ribosomal RNA, internal transcribed spacer 2, and large subunit ribosomal RNA
Rfam family: 5.8S ribosomal RNA (bases 1-118)
Source: RNAcentral
GAUGAAGAACGUAGCGAAAUGCGAUAAGUAAUGUGAAUUGCAGAAUUCAGUGAAUCAUCGAAUCUUUGAACGCACUGCGCCCGCCAGUAUUCUGGCGGGCAUGCCUGUUCGAGCGUCAUUUCAACCCUCAGGUCCCCCUUUUCGGAGGGGGAGACACCCUGGUGUUGGGGGACGGCCUGGCCUUCUGCGCCGCGCCGCCCCCGAAAUGAAUUGGCGGCCUCGUCGCGUGCCACCCCUGCGUAGUAGCACAACCUCGCAACGGGAGCCCGACGCGGCCACUGCCGUAAAACGCCCAACUUUUAAGAGUUGAACUCGAAUCAGGUAGGAAUACCCGCUGAACUUAAGCAUAUCAAUAAGCGGAGGA